RNAcentral lists this ribosomal RNA (1047 nucleotides) under bacterium endosymbiont of Donacia crassipes. RNAcentral describes it as "bacterial SSU rRNA". It matches the Rfam family "Bacterial small subunit ribosomal RNA", at positions 433 to 1467 of the family's 1533-position model. The record is from RNAcentral.
CUUUSAACAAGAAAGANACAAUGAAAUUKAAUACAUUUSAUUAUUGANGUUACUUGUAAAAGANGCACCGGCUAACUCCGUGCCAGCNGCCGCGGUAAUACGGAGGGUGCUAGCGUUAAUCGGAAUUACUGGGCGUAAAGAGCACGUAGGCGGUUAAUUAAGUCAGAUGUGAAAUCCCUAGGCUUAACUUAGGAACUGCAUUUGAAACUAAUUAACUCGAGUUUCGUAGAGGGGGGUAGAAUUCUAGGUGUAGCGGUGAAAUGCGUAGAUAUCUGGAGGAAUACCAGUGGCGAAGGCGGCCCCCUGGACGAAUACUGACGCUCAGGUGCGAAAGCAUGGGGAGCAAACAGGAUUAGAUACCCUGGUAGUCCAUGCUGUAAACGAUGUCGACUUGAAGGUUGUAAGCUUGACUUAUAACUUUCGUAGCUAACGCGUUAAGUCGACCGCCUGGGGAGUACGACCGCAAGGUUAAAACUCAAAUGAAUUGACGGGGGCCCGCACAAGCGGUGGAGCAUGUGGUUUAAUUCGAUGCAACGCGAAAAACCUUACCUGGUCUUGACAUCCAUGGAAUUUAAUAGAGAUAUUUUAGUGCCUUCGGGAACCAUGAGACAGGUGCUGCAUGGCUGUCGUCAGCUCGUGUUGUGAAAUGUUGGGUUAAGUCCCGCAACGAGCGCAACCCUUAUUCUUUGUUGCCAUCAGUUAGGCUGGGAACUCAAAGAAGACUGCCGGUGAUAAACCGGAGGAAGGUGAGGACGACGUCAAGUCAUCAUGGCCCUUACGACCAGGGCUACACACGUGCUACAAUGGUAUAUACAAAGAGAAGCAUCCUUGUAAAAGUAAGCGGAUCUCACAAAAUAUAUCUUAGUUCGGAUUAGAGUCUGCAACUCGACUCUAUGAAGUCGGAAUCGYUAGUAAUCGUAGAUCAGAAUGCUACGGUGAAUACGUUCCCGGGCCUUGUACACACCGCCCGUCACACCAUGGAAGUGGGUUGUAAAAGAAGUAAGUUGUUUAACCUUUNNNNNAAGGANGGNGCUUACNACUUUAUGA